GGGCCGUUAGUACACCGGUAGUACACCGCAUUCGCAUUGCGGAAAAGGGAGUUCAAUUCCCCCACGGUCCA
Molecule: transfer RNA, 71 nt
Filed under: Candidatus Woesebacteria bacterium RIFOXYA1_FULL_43_16
Lineage: Bacteria; Candidatus Woeseibacteriota
Also listed under: 3 other names
Description: tRNA-Ala
Rfam family: tRNA
About the family: Transfer RNA (tRNA) molecules are approximately 80 nucleotides in length.
Source: RNAcentral